AUUGAACGCUGGCGGCAGGCCUAACACAUGCAAGUCGAACGAGUGGCGGACGGGAGAGAUAUGUCUGGGACACUGCCCUAUGGAGGGGGAUCACCUCUGGAAGCGGGCGCUUAUACCGUAUCCUCUGGGAUGCGCCCAGAUGGGAUUAGCUAGUGGGUGGGGUAAUGGCUCACCUAGGCGACGCUCCCUAGCUGGUCUGAGAGGAUGACCAGCCACACUGGAACGGAGACACGGUCCAGACUCCGACGGGAGGCAGCAGUGGGGAAUAGUGCACAAUGGGCGCAAGCCUGAUGCAGCCAUGCCGCGGGUGUGAAGAAGGCCUUCGGGUUGUAAAGCACUUUCAGCGGGGAGGCGUUACCCGCAGAAGAAGCACCGGCUAACUCCGUGCCAGCAGCCGCGGUAAUUC
RNAcentral lists this ribosomal RNA (406 nucleotides) under uncultured bacterium. RNAcentral's name for it is "partial 16S ribosomal RNA". It matches the Rfam family "Bacterial small subunit ribosomal RNA", at positions 28 to 526 of the family's 1533-position model. The record is from RNAcentral.